Molecule: ribosomal RNA, 207 nt
Filed under: uncultured bacterium
Lineage: Bacteria
Description: partial 16S ribosomal RNA
Rfam family: Bacterial small subunit ribosomal RNA
Source: RNAcentral
UACGUAGGCGGUCUUGUGUGUCGGAUGUGAAAGCCCAUGGCUCAACCGUGGAAUUGCAUCCGAAACUACAAGACUAGAGUCCAGGAGGGGAGAGCGGAAUUCUGGGUGUAGCGGUGAAAUGCGUUGAUAUCCAGAAGAACACCGGUGGCGAAGGCGGCUCUCUAGAAUGUGACUGACGCUGAGGUACGAAAGCGUGGAGAGCAAACA